Molecule: ribosomal RNA, 254 nt
Filed under: uncultured bacterium
Lineage: Bacteria
Description: partial 16S ribosomal RNA
Rfam family: Bacterial small subunit ribosomal RNA
Source: RNAcentral
UACGUAGGGGGCAAGCGUUGUCCGGAUUUAUUGGGCGUAAAGCGCGUGUAGGCGGCCAGGUAGGUCCGUUGUGAAAACUCGAGGCUCAACCUCGAGACGUCGACGGAAACCCUCUGGCUAGAGUCCGGAAGAGGAGAGUGGAAUUCCUGGUGUAGCGGUGAAAUGCGCAGAUAUCAGGAAGAACACCCGUGGCGAAGGCGGCUCUCUGGGACGGUACUGACGCUGAGACGCGGAAAGCGUGGGGAGCGAACAGG